ACCCUUAUAUCCUUCUUCUGAGAAUAUACACAAAUAUGUUAUAUUCAGAGGUCGUUGCCAUGGAAACGGUGUCCAUGUACAUGCCAAUUUCAUUUUAUUUUUCUGACAAUGGAUAUUGUCCCUUUGAGUACAUAACCUUUUUAUGCUACUUUAAUUAUUAUUUUGUCAGGUUCAUAUCACCUUAAGGUAGCACAAUACAAAAAAUCUU
This 208-nucleotide long non-coding RNA is filed under the name Mytilus galloprovincialis (Mediterranean mussel). The record is from RNAcentral. Lineage: Eukaryota; Metazoa; Mollusca; Bivalvia; Mytilida; Mytilidae.